RNAcentral lists this ribosomal RNA (206 nucleotides) under uncultured bacterium. RNAcentral describes it as "partial 16S ribosomal RNA". It matches the Rfam family "Bacterial small subunit ribosomal RNA", at positions 568 to 774 of the family's 1533-position model. The record is from RNAcentral.
CUCGUAGGCGGCCAACUAAGUCAGACGUGAAAUCCCUCAGCUUAACUGGGGAACUGCGUCUGAUACUGGAUGGCUUGGAUUCGGGAGAGGAAUGCGGAAUUCCAGGUGUAGCGGUGAAAUGCGUAGAUAUCUGGAGGAACACCGGUGGCGAAGGCGGCAUCCUGGACCGACAUUGACGCUGAGGAGCGAAAGCCAGGGGGCAAACG